UACGUAGGUGGCAAGCGUUAUCCGGAUUUAUUGGGCGUAAAGGGAACGCAGGCGGUUUAUUAAGUCUGGUGUAAAAGGCAGUGGCUCAACCAUUGUAUGCAUUGGAAACUGGUAGACUUGAGUGCAGGAGAGGAGAGUGGAAUUCCAUGUGUAGCGGUGAAAUGCGUAGAUAUAUGGAGGAACACCGGUGGCGAAAGCGGCUCUCUGGCCUGUAACUGACACUGAGGCUCGAAAGCGUGGGGAGCAAACAGG
Molecule: ribosomal RNA, 252 nt
Filed under: uncultured bacterium
Lineage: Bacteria
Description: partial 16S ribosomal RNA
Rfam family: Bacterial small subunit ribosomal RNA
Source: RNAcentral